Molecule: RNA transcript, 3793 nt
Organism: Cannabis sativa
Lineage: Eukaryota; Viridiplantae; Streptophyta; Magnoliopsida; Rosales; Cannabaceae
Gene name: nonsense-mediated mRNA decay protein 2-like
Exons: 4
Source: RefSeq, a predicted model, not a curated record
ACCUUCGAAGAACACUCGGGGAAAAAGACCUCGAACUGUUGUUGAAAAUUCGGACUCAGAUUUUGAGUUGGAUUCUGAAUUUCUUAAGUCGCCUGUUUCUGUUAAGGUAUUUUACUAUUUAUCUGUUGUUGUUUUUGAGGUUUUUUGUUUUUUUGUUAAAUUCGCUAUUUGAGGUUCAUAUAUCUGGGUAUUUGUUUGUUUUUGUUUAUGUAUUUGUAAUUGUUUUAUAUAUAUUGUUCGAUUUUAUUUAUGUGUUUUUGUCAAUUUUUUAUUUGUUGUUUUGUUGGUGUUGUUAUUUUUUAUUUUAGGGCAAGGGUAAAUCCCCUGUGAAGGUGGUUCCAUCAUCAGGUGUUUCUGAAGAAAUUCCUGUUAAUAGGAUUGUUGAGGUUUGUGAUGUUAUGCAUUCUGUUCUAUGUUUUUUUGUUGUUUUUUUGUUGUUGUUAUUUUCGUAGUGUUUUUUGGUGUUUUAUCAGUGUUUUCAUUGUUCUGUUUUUUAGGAUUGGGAAUGCAAGUACACUCGAUCUCAAUUUUAUCAUUCUAGAGUAGUAACAUCUGGUUAUUACUCUGUACUUUGUGACAUUAAGAGAAUUUUAACUGAAAGCCAAUUGGAAAUUUUUUUCAAAAUCUGUGUUUGGUUAUUUUCUUCGAAUUCCUGAGUACAUAAUUCAUUACCAAUUGCUGCAUUGUUUGCUGUUGAGGGAGGUUCAGCAGCCUAAUGGGUUGGAGUUUUGGGUUUGUGUCCAAGGGAAAUACCUUAGGUUUAGUAUCGAAGAGUUUGCGUUGGUCACGGGGUUAGAUUGUCAUGUUGAUUCUGAUUUUUAUAAGUUUAAGCAAGAUGAUAAUGAAUUGGUCAAAUCUUGUUUUAAGGGGUACAAAAAAAUUACCAAGGCUGCUAUUCAGACUGCUUUUAUUGCUGACAAUCUUAAGGAUAACGACGAUCUUGCAGUCAAGUUGGCUGUAUUGUAUUUUGUGCAGUGUUAUUUGUUAGGUGGUCCCCCGGGUAAAGUUGUUUCGUUUGAGGAAAUAGAUGUUGUGGAUAGUGGUCGAUAUAAUGAAUUUGGGUGGGGCAAGCAUUGUUUUGAUAUCACUAUGCAUUCUUUGAAGGGUAAGAUAGAUUCUGGUUAUAAGAGGGUAGUUCGUAGUGACGAGGAUGGUGGGUAUUACAGGUUAUUGGGUUUUCCUUUGGCUAUUCAAUUCUGGUUUUUCGAGUGUUGCCCGUAUGUUAUUGGGAAACUAUCCUUGUACUCAAAUGUUGGCAUUCCAAGGAUUUUGAAUUGGCCUAAAUUACCCAAGGACAAGGAGGGUAUGGUGAAAAUGGAUGUCAUGAACACCCUCAUUUUCGAUCGGUCUUUGAAAGAGUUAAAAUUAAGAAACCUCACUCCAACUUCCGUUGAGAGAUUGAGUUUGAGCCUCACUGAUUUUUUCUCUGGUGAGACUACUCCCGAGGCUGUGAAAUUCAAAAUUAAAGGUGGUUCCAAGCCUGCUGGUCAACCUGGCUUGAUGGGUUCUUCUUCAUCAACUGCUCAUGAGAAUGUCUCCCGAGUUGAGUUUGAGGAAUUUAAAAAGUGUUUAUCUGUUGUUGUCAGCCAGCAAGGGAUUCUUAUGAAAUCUGUUGCUGAGAUGAACAAGAAGCUGGACAUUCUUAUUGAGUCAUCCCAAGGUGGUCCCACUCACAAUGGAUCUCAGUCUGAAGAUGCUCUUCGUACUUCAGAAAAUGAGGAUGAUGAAGAUUCCACUUCGGAGGAAGACGAGGAUGAUAAAUUCGACGAUGACAAAGGAGAUGAUCAUCAUGACGAUGAAACUGAUGAUGAUGAUGAUGAUCUGGGUGGAGAUGGUGUUGGUGCUGGUCAGGAUGAGGCUCACACGGGCGAUGUUCGUAACGAUGAGGGUGUUGUUGUCCCCGCGGUUGUUUCGAGGGAUGAUGAUACCGGCAAGGUCGAUGAUGCCAAGAAUUCUGAAACUGUGGAACCUAUUGCAGAUAUCAAACAGGUGUGUUUCUUGUUUGGACAUCAUUUUUGGUUUGUGCUUUUUUUUGUGUGUUUAUGUGUUUUGUGUUUGUUUUAAUAGUGUUUUACUGUUUUUUUUGUUAUCAGCCUGAUCAGUCUCAAGGUGGGGAGGAGAACAUUGAUGUUGAUGCAACAAUUGCAUCUGCUGUUAAAGCUGUGGAGAAUUUGGUUUGUGUUUAUGUUUUUUUUUUUUAUAUUUGUAUUUAUUUGGUAUUAUAUUGUUGUUUUUAUGGUGUUUUAAUUGUACUGUUUGAAAUUAAAACAUAAGUCUUUUUAUUUAUCCUUUCUCUUUUUUAGAUUGGUUCCUCAACUCAUGCCCCUGCUCCUGUUGACACUUCUGAGAAGACUAAUCUUGAAAUGGUUGUUUUUCAAGAGACUCCUAUUUUACGUCCUCAAAAGAGGGAUCGGAAGAAAGGAGCUGUUUUGAAAUCCCCAUUCAUUGAGCUUGCUUCUGGUGCAUCUAAAUCAGGUUCAUCCUCGGUUUCUCCUGAUGAUUCUGUGUAUAAGGUCGUUAAAUAUGUGCGUGGUUUGUGCCCGUUGGACAACAAGAUUGGUGAACCUGUUGAUCCGCAAUUGGAAGCUGAUUUUGUCAAGUGGGUUGAUUCAGGUCUUAGAAAGCACAAAUCUAAGUAAGUAUUUUUGUAGGUGUUUUCAGUUGUAUAUCUGUUAUUGUUUUCUAUUUAUUUUUAUUUUUUCAUUUCUGUUUUGAUAUUUUUUUAUUUGUUUUUUUUAGCACAACAACUAAUGUGUAUUGUAAGGGUAAGGACACUAUAUUUCCGCCAUUUCGUUUUGGUGUUGAGGACAUCAGCAACAAGAUGUGGUUUCACAACCUUGCCUACCCUAAUUGUUUCCUUACCAAUUCUCACAUUGACAUCAUUUUCUAUUAUCUUCGUAAGAAAAUAAUGUACUCAGCCGAGCCGAAAAUCAAAGUCACCACAACUGAUUGCCUCUUUUGUUCUAGCAUAACAACUUUGUAUGAGAGGUUUGUUGAGAAAAACAACGAUAUAUCGGUGUUGUCUCUUUCUCACAAUGUGGCCCAGUACAUUCAAGGUGGUAAGAUAUUAUGUGCCACUCCUUGGCAUUUGGUUGAUCAUGUUAUUAUGCCUAUCAAUGUAAAAUUACAGGAUCAUUGGAUUUGUGGUCGUCUUAACAUAGUUGACAGGCGCAUAUAUCUGUACAAUUCACUGCGUUCUGGGAGGUAUAUGACUGAUGCCAAAGAGGCUUGCAAGCCUUUCUCUGUUAUUUUACCAUAUUACUUCUCUAUGUUAGACUUCAAAGGCCUUCGCAACGAAACUAAGUUUAGCACUAUGGAACCGUUUCCUAUUGUUGCUGUUGAUGGUUUACCCGAGCAGGUCACAGCGUAAGUUUUAUGUUUAGUGUUCAAUGUUUUUUCACUGGUUGUUUGUAUUUUUAUUUUUUUGUUGUUGACUUUUGUUUUUUAUCAGUGUUUUCAUAGUGUCUUUUUUUGUGUUUUAUUGUUUUUUUUUCCAGUGAUUGUGGUGUUUUUGUUGCAUCAUUUGCUGAGUAUUUCAUUGAUGGCAAACCCAUCCCAUCCUCUGAUUUUGAUGUGGAAAUUCACCGCGAUCGUUUGGCUGCGUUAUUUUAUCAAUAUGGGAUGAAGAAGCAAACUGAGAACAUUGAAAGUGAAUCCGAGGCCCCUCCCAGCCUUCCCAAGAAGUGAUUUGCUUUUUCAAUCAGACUGUCAUUGUUCUUAUAGUUUUUUAAUGUUGUUGUAAUGUUUUUCAUGUUGUUUUUCGUAAACAAACAUUGGUGUUCUGUUGUUUUUC